AGUGUAGGCGGCUAUUUAAGUCGGAUGUGAAAGCCCCGGGCUCAACCUGGGAAUUGCAUUCGAAACUGAAUAGCUAGAGUUUGGUAGAGGUAAGUGGAAUUCCGGGUGUAGCGGUGAAAUGCGUAGAUAUCCGGAGGAACAUCAGUGGCGAAGGCGGCUUACUGGACCAAAACUGACGCUGAGGCUCGAAAGCGUGGGGGGCAAACAGGAUUAGAUACCCUGGUAGUCC
RNAcentral lists this ribosomal RNA (229 nucleotides) under uncultured bacterium. RNAcentral describes it as "partial 16S ribosomal RNA". It matches the Rfam family "Bacterial small subunit ribosomal RNA", at positions 568 to 796 of the family's 1533-position model. The record is from RNAcentral.